Alligator mississippiensis (American alligator) is the source of this 2041-nucleotide long non-coding RNA. RefSeq lists it as uncharacterized. Lineage: Eukaryota; Metazoa; Chordata; Crocodylia; Alligatoridae. The transcript has 2 exons. The record is from RefSeq and is a predicted model, not a curated record.
AUUCACAAGCUGCCUGCUACCUAGAGGUAUGUAGAAAAAACACUUAAAGCUGUGUCUGUCUGAAUCUCCAAAUCUUUCCAAAUUGAUUCAAAAGGUUCCAAUUCGAUUCGGAGAGAUUAAAGGGUCCUUGGAUUCGGAGAUUCAGCCACUGAUGGAUUCGGAGAUUCAGCCACUGAAUUGAAUCAGGGACUGAAGCUUCACACAACCCUAAUAGUUAGUACUAAUAUCACGAGGCUCGAUGGACUUGCUGUGAUAAUCAUUUUCAUAGAUUUGCAAUGAAGUGGUCAUAGGAGUCGCAUUCUGUGGAGCUGCAAACUGGUACCCUAAUAGCACAGACAUUCAAUAAUCCCUUUUCAUGUUUUAUGCAUUGGUUCUUUUGAAGGACCAAGAGAGAAAAGGAAAAAAUUGCCAUUUGUUCUUAGCAAAAGUAUUUUAAACUGGGUGAUAUUAGUUUUGAUACUUGUCCUUUCCCAUUCUUAACCAAAGUUAAAUUAAAUUACUGAUGGUGCUACAAUACACAUAUUUAAAUUCAAACAAAUGUAAUACAUUUAUCCAUCAAGAUGAUGCUGUGGUUCUACCAAAUCACUAACUAUUAAUGAAAAUUUUUCAUAAUACAAAAACAUAAGGUUGGAAAGGGCUCCUGGCCUCUCAGUAACAAGUUGGGUUUUUGGUUAAUUCAACUCUAAUUUUUCAUCCAUUUUGACUACAGUCAUUUUAAAUGAAGACAAAGAAAUAGAUUCUAUUCCAUUUACACAAUUAAGUGGACUACAUUGCUUGAGCCUGAUUCUAUUCCACCUUGUUUGAGUCCCUGAAAACUCAUAAAGAAACCAGGUGGGUAGGUCCUCCUUCCUGCAUUUUUUUUAUAGUUCAAACAAUGGUUAGAUGGAAGUAAGUUAGAAAAGUACGUGUAUGAAUACAUUUUUUAGGGACAUGAGCAAGGUGGAACUGAAUUUGGCCCCAAGUGAAACUUUGUACCUCAUCUUGAUAUAGGAUUUAGAAGAAAGUUUGUUGCUUUUGAAAUGUCAUAAUAGAAUUGUUAGCUUGUACAAUAUUGGUUGGGAAGUUAAGGAAUUCAUAUGCACUUAAUAGAUGCCUUUAGGUACUAGUUUUUGCUCUCUGUUGUGUUGUCUUUCACCACUAACAAAAUACCUGAUACUUGCAUAGGAAGUAAGCCAAGUACUACCAGUAAGUGAAUCUAAACUAAGGAGAAAAUGAAAAGAGACUCAAAUAACUGAAAAUAAAAUGUUGCUUAAUUCCAUUCUUCAAAUAGUGAAGCUAUUAUUCCAAUAAAUUAACUUUAGGUAUGGUUCUACCCUGAGAAGAAGCUGUCUAAAAAUACCUUUUUAUUCAACAUUACCUAAUCUUUGAAUAAAUUCAAAAGUAAAUCUGUUUGCUUGGUUACUACUAGAAGUGCACCAAUAUAUCAGUUGCCUAUUGGAUCAGCACUGAUACAAGGGAAGUUUACAUUAGCGGCUAUCAGCUUUUUUUUUUUUUGGCCAUUGUAGCUGAUAUUGCUUACCAACUGAUUAUGUCUUCCGGCCAGGGCCCUGGACACCUUGGUUCCCUCCCCCCCAUGGGGCUGGGGGCCCUGGGUGCCUGGGUUCCCUCAGGGAAAUGACAGGUUUCCCCUUGCAGGCAGGCAGCAUUCUAGCCGGCAAGGGGUCCUGCUUGGGGCUGCUGGAAGCAAGAUGCUAUGGGCUGCCACCCAGAACACCUAGCCAGGAGUACAGCUGGGCAGCAUAGAGAGCAGCUCCCUGCAGGAGGAAGCAACCUUGACCACCUGAAACCUGAGAUACUGCUUCUGCCUCUGUUCAAGGGAAUUUGCACCAUAACAGAGCCUCACAAGAGAGCUGACAGACACCUUACCAGCUAAGAGCUGCCUGCCCAAAGGAAUUUUCCAUCUCUUGACUCCUCUGUGAAAUCCUAUUAAGUAUGAACUUUCAUUUGUACUCAGGAUAACUUUUACCAUCUUUUCUCUGAUGCCUGAUGAAGGGUGCUUGUGCCCUAAAACUUGCAAUUAAAGAUUUUUUUCCUGCAAAAA